AACAAAAACAUGUCCUUUUGUCUUAUUUAUUUAAGGUUUAACCUGCCCACUGAAUUUAUUUUAAAUGGCCGCAGUAAUUUGACUGUGCAAAGGUAGCAUAAUCAUUAGUUUUUUAAUUGAAAGCUUGUAUGAAAGGUUGGACGAAGUAUAAUCUGUCUUUAUUUAAUUUAUGAUAGAAUUUAAUUUUUAAGUUAAAAAGCUUAAAUAUAUAUAAAAGACGAGAAGACCCUAUAAAUUUUUAUAUUUUUAUAAAAUUAUUUUAAUUAGGAUUUUUUAAUUUAUAAUUUUAUAUAGUAUUUUAUUGGGGUAAUAGAAUAAUUAAUUUAAUUUAUUUUGAUUUUUUACAUUAAUUUAUGAUUUUGUGAUCCAAAAUUUUUUGAUUAUAAGAUUAAGUUACUUUAGGGAUAACAGCGUAAUUUUUUUAAAGAGUUCAUAUCGAUAAGAAAGUUUGCGACCUCGAUGUU
RNAcentral lists this ribosomal RNA (464 nucleotides) under Madaglymbus sp. BI-2011. RNAcentral's name for it is "partial 16S ribosomal RNA". Lineage: Eukaryota; Metazoa; Arthropoda; Insecta; Coleoptera; Dytiscidae. The record is from RNAcentral.